AAGAACACAGUGCCUGAAGCUCCAUGAUAAAAAUGAUAAAAAUGGGAGGUUUUUAAUCUUUGCAAAGUUAAUCAGGACAAUAUUUUUUACAGAUAUGCUGCCUGAGCCACCUCAUGGGAACUCAGACUGUGAUCCCAUACUAUAUCGAAACGAAAGAGGCAAGCAUGGCAGGUAAUCUAAGCAGAGCAUAGUGGAAAAGUUUUUAGCAAAAUGAAAACUCCUUUAGAUAUUGGCAAAUGCAGUUUACAAAGCGUGAAAGAAGAAAUACUACGCUUACAGCGGGAUUUCAUGAUAUAAUCCCUGCUUAUUAUAGAGUAUCUCAGCCUGUCCUUCAAGGAGAGUAUCCUGUUGAAUGGCUGUCAAAGGACAAAACAAGAACCAACAGAUCUGAGCUGCAGAGAUUUACAUGUGAUCUGAUGGUGUGAUCUACGUCAGUUUAGCUGAAUUGUGCAAGCUCCCCAGUGGAAAUUUAAACAGGUAUGUUUUCUCCUAUUUACCACCAUCCCUUUAAAUUAAUGCAAUUCCUGUCUUUAAGUGAGGCCUUUCCUUCUAUUUUCUUCUUUCAAUCUUCUCAUCAUC
RNAcentral lists this long non-coding RNA (579 nucleotides) under Numida meleagris (helmeted guineafowl). RNAcentral's name for it is "lncRNA (ENSNMEG00000018614.1)". The record is from RNAcentral. Lineage: Eukaryota; Metazoa; Chordata; Aves; Galliformes; Numididae.